RNA transcript from Myotis daubentonii (Daubenton's bat), 2525 nucleotides. It is a transcript of the gene named glyoxylate and hydroxypyruvate reductase, with no coding region annotated. The record is from RefSeq and is a predicted model, not a curated record. Lineage: Eukaryota; Metazoa; Chordata; Mammalia; Chiroptera; Vespertilionidae.
GCCACGCCCCCACGCCGCGUCCCGCUUCCGGCCGGCGGCGUCCCGGUCAGUGUCCAGCGGCAGCGGGUUGGAUGCGGCCAGCGCGACUCAUGAAGGUGUUCGUCACCCGCAGGAUCCCCCCCGAGGGCCGGGCAGUGCUCGCCGGGGCCGCAGACUGUGAGGUGGAGCAGUGGGAUUCAGAUGAGCCCAUCCCCAGGAAGGAGCUGGAGCGAGGCGUGGCCGGGGCACACGGCCUGCUUUGCCUCCUCACGGAGCAGGUGGACAGAACGCUGCUGGACGCCGCAGGAGCCAAUCUCAAAGUCAUCAGCACAAUGUCUGUGGGCGUCGACCACUUGGCUUUGGAUGAAAUCAAGAAGCGUGGGAUCCGUGUGGGCUACACCCCAGAUGUCCUGACAGACGCCACCGCGGAACUCGCUGUCUCCCUGCUGCUCACCACCAGUCGCCGGCUGCCGGAGGCCAUCGAGGAAGUGAAGAAUGGUGGCUGGACCGCGUGGAAGCCCCUGUGGAUGUGUGGCCACGGCCUCACGAAGAGCACCGUGGGCAUCAUCGGGCUGGGGCGCAUAGGCCAGGCCAUUGCUCGGCGGCUGAAGCCAUUUGGUGUCCAGAGAUUUCUAUACUCAGGGCGCCAGCCCAAGCCUCAGGAAGCAGCAGAAUUCCAGGCAGAGUUUGUGCCCACCGCCCAGCUGGCUGCUGAGGCCGAUUUCAUCGUUGUGACCUGCUCCUUAACGCCUGCAACCAAGGGCCUCUGCAACAAGGACUUCUUCCGGCUGAUGAAGAAAACAGCCGUGCUGGUCAACAUCAGCAGGGGGGACGUGGUGAACCAGGACGACCUGUACCAGGCCUUGGCCAGUGGCCAGAUUGCAGCUGCUGGACUGGAUGUGACGACCCCGGAACCACUGCCUACGAGCCACCCUCUGCUGACCCUGAAGAACUGUGUGAUCCUGCCCCACAUUGGCAGUGCCACCCAUGGAACCCGAAACGUCAUGUCCUUGUUGGCAGCCAACAACUUGCUGGCUGGCCUGAGAGGGGAGCCAAUGCCCAGUGAACUCAAGCUGUAACCAGACAGGAAGCACCGAGGGCCAGGCAGACAUGCCCGGGAUGCUGUCGGCUGUGCCAGGCUUGAUUUGGACCCACAGGACAGGAGCCAUGGAAAAGUCCGAUCUGGGCUGAUGCUGCAGAGGGAAGACUGGUGCUGGGAGAUGUGCUUGGAAACAUCUGCGCCAAAAAUUCCUUCACAGGCCCCGCACUGAGAACGGACAACCAGAGCCCAUGGGUGACCUAGACCAUUGGGACACAUUAAAUAUACUCGGCAAAGAGAACAAGGCAAGAAUAACUGGAAGAAGGUGAGUUUUUUGUUGUUAUUGGAAUUUAGUUCUUUAUAUAAUAAAGUCCCUUGUAAAAACAACAGAAUAAAAACCACAAAGAAGGGGCAGGGCAAAUACUUUAAAAAAUGAAAAAGGAAGGAAUAGGAAAAAAAGGCAGAGCACUUAUUGCUUCUCCUCAGCUUUCUCCUUGGUCUCGUCUUCGGACUCCUGUUGUCUUCCACCGAAAGAGCUUCCAGCUUUUGCAGCCACUUCCUCAGCAUUACCGUUUUUGCCCAGUUUUCCUUUCUUUUCUCUCUCUGCAGUCUCUUUCCUGCAUUCUUCAAACUUUGUCUUGAAUUUCUGUGCAUCUUCAGCAUUGGGGAAGCAGAUGGCCAGCUGCUCCACUGGGGGCGCCCGUCAGCAAAGGUGGUAGGGUGUACCAGAGCCAUGCAGUCAUUGCCUGCGCUUGGCGUCAGCUCCAGUCGGCAUGAUAUAGUGGUUGGCGAAUAAUUUCAAGGCCUUGUCCCCCCUCAGGUGGCGGAUGGUCCCUUUCCUUCUGCUCCAGAAGCUUGACAUCACUGGUGCCUCGUUCCUUCCAUUCUGGGAGAUCAUUCUCUGAAGAGAAUCAGAACAGCUUUGCCCACAUUUUGAAAAGCUCCUCUUCGUCUUCCAGCGUUUUAAUUUCUUGAUCAGGAAGAGAAACUAUAGGCUCAAACUGAGGGUUGUGGUUGGACUCGUCUGCAUUCUCGGUGGAGGUACUGUGGUCCUCAUGGAUGUCCUUGGCGACCACCAUGGUGGCAUGGCUGGCUCAGUCUGCUGGCUCCAGGGCCUCCACAGCUCUUAAUUUUUACUUCAAAAUUAGUUUUAGCACCAUCACACUUGGCUCCCUUUGUCUAUCUUGUCCUCAUCCCCACUCCCCCCAGGUGGAUGGGUACCCUUUUUCUAAUCGCCACCUCACUCCUCCCAAAAGCCCUCCUCCUGCUGAGGCAGGCAGGCUCCAGCCCUCCCCACAGCCAAGCCAACUGGCCAGUGGAGUUUUCAAUCUGGGAGGCAGGUAAGGGAGCAGUGGGGGCAUAAGAGUAAGCGAUAAAACUGGGUGGGCUGAGAAAACCUCACACAUGCCCACGGCUCACAGACAGACAGAAGUAGGCAAGGCAGAAGGGACUAAAUUGAAGGAAUUACCAAUAAUGGUUAUUGAGAGCAUUGGAUUAUUUUCUAAAA